Molecule: RNA transcript, 1719 nt
Organism: Hemicordylus capensis (graceful crag lizard)
Lineage: Eukaryota; Metazoa; Chordata; Lepidosauria; Squamata; Cordylidae
Gene: RUVBL2
Gene name: RuvB like AAA ATPase 2
Exons: 15
Source: RefSeq, a predicted model, not a curated record
GCGCGGGGGAAGCAACACUUGGAGGACCAAGAACCAUAGAUGCCGGGGCUAGGGCUUUCUGUUUAUGGAUCUCUUCUUCGUCGCAGCGGCUUCCGACUUCCGGUCCCGGCCUCCUGGCGCUGUUAGGAAGGCGGGGCAGGCGGGCCAGCGCUUGGAGACGGCGCGAGGUGCAGGAGCGGCAGCAUGGCAACGGCCGCGGCUACCAAGGUUCCUGAAGUUCGGGAUGUCACUCGGAUUGAACGCAUUGGGGCCCACUCCCACAUUAGAGGACUUGGCUUGGAUGAUACAUUGGAACCAAGACAGGUGUCUCAGGGCAUGGUAGGCCAGCUGGCUGCCCGACGUGCUGCUGGUGUGAUCUUAGAGAUGAUCAAGGAAGGCAAGAUCGCAGGCCGCGCCGUCCUGAUUGCUGGGCAGCCAGGCACAGGGAAAACUGCCAUUGCCAUGGGAAUGGCACAAGCGCUGGGCCUUGACACCCCCUUUACAGCCAUUGCUGGCAGCGAAAUCUUCUCCUUGGAGAUGAGCAAAACUGAAGCAUUGACUCAGUCCUUCCGGCGCUCUAUCGGUGUCCGCAUCAAGGAGGAAACGGAAAUCAUUGAAGGUGAAGUGGUGGAGAUCCAAAUAGACCGUCCAGCAACUGGCACAGGUGCUAAGGUAGGGAAGCUGACCUUGAAGACAACUGAAAUGGAGACAGUCUACGACUUGGGUACCAAGAUGAUUGAGUCACUGACCAAGGAGAAAGUGCAAGCUGGAGAUGUCAUCACUAUUGACAAAGCCACAGGGAAGAUCACAAAACUUGGGCGUUCUUUCACCAGGGCACGGGACUACGAUGCCAUGGGUUCACAGACGAAGUUUGUGCAAUGUCCCGACGGGGAGCUGCAGAAACGCAAAGAAGUGGUGCACACGGUCUCACUGCAUGAAAUCGAUGUCAUCAACAGCCGCACGCAAGGCUUCCUGGCACUCUUCUCUGGUGACACAGGAGAGAUAAAAUCAGAAGUGCGGGAGCAGAUUAACGCCAAGGUAGCUGAGUGGCGAGAGGAGGGCAAGGCGGAGGUGAUCCCUGGGGUUCUGUUCAUUGAUGAGGUCCACAUGCUGGACAUUGAGUGCUUUUCCUUCCUGAACCGGGCCUUGGAGAGUGACAUGGCACCUGUCCUCAUCAUGGCUACCAACCGAGGCAUUACCAGGAUUCGUGGCACCAACUACCAGAGCCCCCAUGGUAUCCCGAUUGAUCUGCUGGAUCGUAUGCUCAUCAUUUCAACCUCCCCAUACAGUGACAAGGAGACCAAGCAGAUCCUCAAGAUCCGGUGCGAGGAGGAAGAUGUUGAGAUGAACGAAGAUGCCUACUCAGUGCUAACCCGCAUUGGCUUGGAGACCUCCCUGCGCUAUGCCAUCCAACUCAUCACAGCAGCCAGCCUGGUGUGUCGCAAGAGGAAGGGUACUGAGGUCCAGGUGGAUGAUAUCAAGCGUGUGUACUCCCUGUUCCUGGAUGAGUCACGUUCCACUCAGUACAUGAAAGAGUACCAGGAUGCCUUCAUGUUCAAUGAGCUCAGUGAGUAAGGGGAGAAAGGGAUCAUUGGAUAUCUCCCCAAGUCAAGGUCACCUCACCCUAAGAAGGGGAGACCAUGGACACAUCAUGAUGGACUCUGGGCACCUGGCUCAGGUUGUGUGUAUGAGUGGAUGCUUUUAUUUUAUUUUUUUGUAAAAUAAACCCUUUGGAAGCUU